AGGGCUUAUGCUGGUUUUUUAAAUCCUUCCGCUGUCUCCCACUGCUGUUUACUAUUCAAUUAUUUUGAAUAAUUGUGAACGGCACCAGUCUAUUUGGCCACCAGUGAGGUGGGAGGGGUUCUAAAAAGGGCAUUCCUGCACAGCUGACAGUGACCCAUCCCCAGAAAAGGGGAGGGGCCAAAAAUGGUGGUCAACUGAUUAUUAGGGACACCUCAAAAAGGACAGGGACGGGAGUGAGAUGAAAGGGGUGAGAGGUUUCAGAGUGACAGCCGUGGAGUCUGAGAUCAUGUGUGUAUUCACAGAAUAGAUAUAGCUGGGUCUGCUCUAAGGCAAAACCUGCGAAUUGUACUUCUGCCUGUCUUGGCAGUUGAAGGCCACUGUUGGGUACAACUGUCAACAUUCUUCUACAGAGGGUCAACUGCCCUUAAAAGAGACAAUAUGAAGCCUCUACUGAAGAACUAGUCUCUUGAUGCUGAAAAUGCCAUUAACUAUUCACUUGUGUUCAACCUUACUUUUUGAUGGAUAAACAGAGGCUUAAGAAGUUAAAUUGCCUAAAGACACACAGCUAGAAAGAGAAAGAGCCAGAAGUCCUACCUCUUAAUUCUCUGCUUUAACCACUUGACACACUGUCACCCAUAGUUCAACUUCCUGGAGAAGUAGUAGAUCUUCAUCUUUAAUUUGGAAUCGGUGGCUGGACCUUUUUUAAACAAGAACCUGGAUUCAGACAAAGCAUUGGGCACUUUGCUGGCUACAGAGCACUUGAUGACAAAGAGAACCUGGACCUGACCUCUUUCAACUCCUGUUCAUUAGAACAGAUGAUACGAACAUUUCAUUGGAAGGCACAGGAACAAGCUGAAAGCAUGGCAAAACCUAGAGAGGAGGCCCCUUGUCCUUCAGAACUACAACUUACUGUUGUUUGGACCCGGUAAGUAAAAUUUGGUGGCAGACAGCAUGAAGGAGAUUUUCAAAAGCACAAAGGACAGGUAGUUGAAAGUCAAUGGGAGUUAGCUGCCUAACUUCCAUUUGUGCCUUUCACCUUCUGUGCUGUCCUGACCAUGAGGCCUACACAACAGAGGAGUGAACCUGUAAUGUCCUCUUCCAAAGACAUUUCUUCACUUUUCUCCCAGGCUUUCUUUGCUAAUUAUGCAGACAGUAGACUGCUCAGU
Molecule: long non-coding RNA, 1166 nt
Organism: Mauremys mutica (yellowpond turtle)
Lineage: Eukaryota; Metazoa; Chordata; Testudines; Geoemydidae
Exons: 4
Source: RefSeq, a predicted model, not a curated record